GAUAAACGCUGGCGGCGUGCCUAAUACAUGCAAGUCGAGCGAACGGACGAGAAGCUUGCUUUUCUGAUGUUAGCGGCGGACGGGUGAGUAACACGUGGAUAACCUACCUAUAAGACUGGGAUAACUUCGGGAAACCGGAGCUAAUACCGGAUAAUAUUUUGAACCGCAUGGUUCAAAAGUGAAAGACGGUCUUGCUGUCACUUAUAGAUGGAUCCGCGCUGCAUUAGCUAGUUGGUAAGGUAACGGCUUACCAAGGCAACGAUGCAUAGCCGACCUGAGAGGGUGAUCGGCCACACUGGAACUGAGACACGGUCCAGACUCCUACGGGAGGUAGCAGUAGGGAAUCUUCCGCAAUGGGCGAAAGCCUGACGGAGCAACGCCGCGUGAGUGAUGAAGGUCUUCGGAUCGUAAAACUCUGUUAUUAGGGAAGAACAUAUGUGUAAGUAACUGUGCACAUCUUGACGGUACCUAAUCAGAAAGCCACGGCUAACUACGUG
RNAcentral lists this ribosomal RNA (497 nucleotides) under uncultured bacterium. RNAcentral describes it as "partial 16S ribosomal RNA". It matches the Rfam family "Bacterial small subunit ribosomal RNA", at positions 28 to 507 of the family's 1533-position model. The record is from RNAcentral.